RNAcentral lists this long non-coding RNA (576 nucleotides) under Homo sapiens (human). RNAcentral describes it as "non-protein coding lnc-MYOM2-11:1". Lineage: Eukaryota; Metazoa; Chordata; Mammalia; Primates; Hominidae. The record is from RNAcentral.
CCCAAAACUAAAAAGCUACAUUUCUAAGGGUAAAAUUCAAAAAUAAUCAAAGUAAUGAUAACAAUUGAGGAUUUUCUCAAAGUCACAUAUAUUAGCCAUUCAUUAAAAUUUUAUUUUUUGCUAAGAGAAUAUGACUUUGGGAGACUGAGUUUGUAAAUGAUCAAUUACCACGCCACAUAUAAAAGCAGAACUCUGACCCACGAUUUGCCGCGAGCAGCCCCGGGAGCCAGCGCUUGUCUGCAGGAGCCAGUUCGGAAGCCACCUGCUGCAAGUCAGAGUCCAGAAAGGAAGGCCGGGGUGUCAAGCAACGGCCCAGAAGGCCAAACAGUUCACCCUGAGGCAAUCAGUGCCAAAGGGCCAGGAUGUAAUUAAUGACUGACAGAUUCUGUAACGUUGUCCCCAAUUCCAACCUAGGACCAGGUGGAGAAAGCCAAGUGUUCCCCUAGUCAAUUCCAUGAGAUGUCCCCACUACCACCACAGCCUCCGCCGGGGCUCCCCGAGCCGCUCUCCCCGCUCCCUGCCUCCUGAGUCUCUGCCAAGCCCAAAGUGUGGUGGUGGCUCCAUCUGUCUAGCAAG